GCAUAGCGAGGACUACCAUGCAAGUCGAGCGGAUGAAGGGAGCUUGCUCUCUGAUUCAGCGGCGGACGGGUGAGUAAUGCCUAGGAAUCUGCCUGGUAGUGGGGGACAACGUUUCGAAAGGAACGCUAAUACCGCAUACGUCCUACGGGAGAAAGCAGGGGACCUUCGGGCCUUGCGCUAUCAGAUGAGCCUAGGUCGGAUUAGCUAGUUGGUGAGGUAACGGCUCACCAAGGCGACGAUCCGUAACUGGUCUGAGAGGAUGAUCAGUCACACUGGAACUGAGACACGGUCCAGACUCCUACGGGAGGCAGCAGUGGGGAAUAUUGGACAAUGGGCGAAAGCCUGAUCCAGCCAUGCCGCGUGUGUGAAGAAGGUCUUCGGAUUGUAAAGCACUUUAAGUUGGGAGGAAGGGCAUUAACCUAAUACGUUAGUGUUUUGACGUUACCGACAGAAUAAGCACCGGCUAACUUCGUGCCAGCAGCCGGGGUAAU
RNAcentral lists this ribosomal RNA (491 nucleotides) under Stutzerimonas stutzeri. RNAcentral's name for it is "bacterial SSU rRNA". It matches the Rfam family "Bacterial small subunit ribosomal RNA", at positions 37 to 524 of the family's 1533-position model. Lineage: Bacteria; Pseudomonadati; Pseudomonadota; Gammaproteobacteria; Pseudomonadales; Pseudomonadaceae. The record is from RNAcentral.